This 2659-nucleotide long non-coding RNA is filed under the name Setaria italica (foxtail millet). RNAcentral's name for it is "long non-coding RNA (SITA_LNC001856)". Lineage: Eukaryota; Viridiplantae; Streptophyta; Magnoliopsida; Poales; Poaceae. The record is from RNAcentral.
CUACUCCCAUCCAACCAAGCACCCUCCAAACUCAAGAACCUGCGGAGAGGAAAAGCGUAUGAGCAAGCAAACUGCUUCAACCAAGUUAUUUAAAUCACAAUAUAUUACGCAAUAAUUUAAGAAUCAAUAUUAUGAAAGAAGCACCACACAUCUUCGAGUAGUAAGAUAAAUAAAUACUUCACAACAAUACUUCAUAAUGAUAUUGAAUGGUACAAUGCAAUGCAAUGCAAUGUAUGAAUUCACUUCUACCCACACAUCCCCAAAGAAGAAGGUGAGGGCUACAACCACAUUGCUAUAUCUCAACGUGCUAUGCCAAGUACUAUUGAAAAGGGUGGAGAACUUGAUGCUACAAUUUCUAAUGUAAUUCUUGGUCACAGAACCUCCACUUGUAGCUAGUUCGGUAGGCCUUGAGCACAUUAUUGCCAAACUUUAGUAACAUCUUCUAUAAGACAAUUCACCACUCAUAACUUUGAUCACAAAAGACCAACCACCACAAAGAGAUCAAAACUACACUAUAAUAAAGCAUGAGUGCAAAACAUCUGCAAAACCCACCAAUCACUACAUGCACCAAGCUCUAGGGAGAUUUUCUUCAAAACUCAAGUCUUGACUUCUUGGAAAACAUGGCUGAAUGAUCAAACUUCCUUCACACUUUUCCAAAACCGAAAUCAACUACAAAUCUCAAAGUACUCCAUGGGAUAGUAGUAGAGAGAUGCCAAAAGCUCAGCAUCAUCUAGGUAAUAAGAAAUAGGAAUAUAUUCACAAGGACUCCUAUUGAUCGACAAUUGCAAAGGAAGGGAAGGAUCCUAGUUUAGUAACCAUGGAGAGUAACAAUCGUUGCACCACAUUAGCACCUCCAGCAUCUAAGCCAUGAUGCGUUAGACCUUCUGCCAACUGAAGCUCAGUCAAAGGAGACGAAAAAACAUUAUGUCAUCUUUCACUAGCUCAGUAGACUUAGAUUGACAUAGAACUGCAUCCAAACGCCAUUUGUUGUUGACUUAAAGUAAGCUCUAUACGGUGCUCAACACUAAGGCUAAGUGAAUUAACUUCAUAUGUCUCCAAAUAAAGCAACAUCAUGCUAAACAUGGCAGGCUUGCCAAAGAUUAAUCUCUCAACAUUGAAUUUGUCCUUUGGGAACGAACCUAUAAAAACUUCAAGCUUUAGUGCUCACAAACGGAUCAUGACACCGUAUUCAAUUGAUCACAUCCCAUUUGUAUUUCCCAAAUGCUCCAUGUCACUAUAACUCAGUAUGAGUAUCGAACUUCCGUUGUUGAACACAAUGGACCACUCCGCUAUGAAAAAAAUAAAAUGUAAACCAUAAUUUCAUAUUUAUCUUGUUAGUAUGAGGUACUGAAAUUAAAUGGAGGCAAUUCAUCAAACAACAAAGCUAAAGCAUCUAGACCACAUCGCUAGUUUACUUGCCUUCACCGAAGACCAAGAACAUGAGCUAAGCACGAUCCGAAGGCGCACCACCUGUUCACAAACAUAACUCAGCACUAACACAAACACACAAGCAUAAACAAACAUAAUUCAAAGUGUUCCUACCCUGAACCCGACAACCUCACAAAACCACACGCAAAACUAGACAUGACAGCAAUAUUGUUGCUUCUCUUUUUUGUAUCUUUUAAUUGUGAUGGCUAAAAAUUCUCAUCUUGUGCCAUCUGAAAGAUAACUUCAGAAAUUACAACUUUCUAGUGAUCCAUAAAUAGAGAAAAAAUCAUCAACAUAGGCUAAUCUGGAGAUGAACCUCAUACUGAAAAUCUGACAACAACUGCAGAAUGGUUCUAGUAAAAUAUGUAUAUUUGGAGCUCCAAAAUUCAUAUGAAAAUGCACUUAACCAAUCUGAAAACCUUAUAAAAUUGUCUAAAUCUUCUCGAACCACUAAAAAGUCCAAUUCAAUCGCUAGGUUUGCCUAACCUUCAAGAGAACAGAUUCUGCGCAUAGUUAAGAGUCUGAAAAACAGUCAGAAUCAAAACUUUGAUAUCUCCCUGGUCUUAACUCCGAUUGUAGUGUUCUUUGAGGCUAUGAAAAGCUAUGAAAAUAUUCUACAGCUCAUGAAUAGGUUUAUUAUUUUUUGAAUCCAUUAAGAGGACUCAAAACAGACAUUAGUGAAAACUGCGCAUAUUGACUACGUGCUAAAAACAGUGACGAGGGCAAAACUAUACCCUAGCCCUUAACGGUGUCGAGUACCACUACACGCACGUGCUAGAACAUCUGAAAUCUUAGGGAAAACAUGGAUUACAGUGGGCGCAUGCCUCACCUAGGGUUUCCCCUUCAAAACAGCAAGAGCAACGGCGACAGAGGCGAUCCCAACGAUGACUCCUGGUCAUUUUCCUCUCCCUAGCGACGAACGACACAGCAGCCCUGCCGAUUGCACCUAAAUUGCAACCCAAAUGGCGGCACCACCAUGAACAGCGAGGAAAGGAAAAUCGAUUGGGGAAACAGAGAGAGAAAAGGAAGUCCAACCAAUUUUUGAAGAGGAACGACGACAACGGGCGACGGCGGCGUACCCUAAUCUCUCCCUUCUCCCUUCUCUUAUUCUCCCUCUCUCCCCUUUGGAUCACGAGCAGAAGGGGAGUGGCGGCGCAAGGGUAGAAGAUGUGGGGGUAUAGGGUUUAGAAAGGAUAGGUGGGCCGGCCAAGGGAAAUUAGAAACUCCAAAC